UAAGCAUAUCAAUAAGCGGAGGAAAAGAAACCAACUGGGAUUGCCCUAGUAACGGCGAGUGAAGCGGCAACAGCUCAAAUUUGAAAUCUGGCCCUCUCCGGGGGUCCGAGUUGUAAUUUGCAGAGGGCGCUUUGGCUUUGGUAGCGGUCUAAGUUCCUUGGAACAGGACAUCACAGAGGGUGAGAAUCCCGUACGUGGUCGCCCGCCAUUGCCGUGUAAAGCCCCUUCGACGAGUCGAGUUGUUUGGGAAUGCAGCUCUAAAUGGGAGGUAAAUUUCUUCUAAAGCUAAAUACCGGCCAGAGACCGAUAGCGCACAAGUAGAGUGAUCGAAAGAUGAAAAGCACUUUGGAAAGAGAGUCAAAUAGCACGUGAAAUUGUUGAAAGGGAAGCGCUUGCAGCCAGACUUGCCCGCAGUUGCUCACCCAGGCUCUUGCCUGGGGCACUCUUCUGCGGGCAGGCCAGCAUCAGUUUGGGCGGCUGGAUAAAGGCCUCUGUCAUGUAUCUUCCUUCGGGAUGACCUUAUAGGGGAGGCGUAACACGGUCAGCCCGGACUGAGGACCGCGCAUCUGCUAGGAUGCUGGCGUAAUGGCUGUAAGCGGCCCGUCUUGAAACACGGACCAAGGAGUCUAACAUCUAUGCGAGUGUUUGGGUGUCAAGCCCGGGCGCGCAAUGAAAGUGAACGGAGGUGGGAACCCCCUCUGGGGGCGCACCAUCGACCGAUCCUGAUGUCUUCGGAUGGAUUUGAGUAAGAGCAUAGCUGUUGGGACCCGAAAGAUGGUGAACUAUGCUUGAAUAGGGUGAAGCCAGAGGAAACUCUGGUGGAGGCUCGCAGCGGUUCUGACGUGCAAAUCGAUCGUCAAAUUUGGGCAUAGGGGCGAAAGACU
RNAcentral lists this ribosomal RNA (884 nucleotides) under Pseudoxylomyces elegans. RNAcentral describes it as "partial large subunit ribosomal RNA". It matches the Rfam family "Eukaryotic large subunit ribosomal RNA", at positions 35 to 932 of the family's 3401-position model. Lineage: Eukaryota; Fungi; Ascomycota; Dothideomycetes; Pleosporales. The record is from RNAcentral.